GGGUCAGUAGGCUGGUCGUGCCACCGGUACGUACUGGUCUCACUGAUUCCUCCUUCCUGAAGAACCGUAAUGCCAUUAAUUUGGUGUUGCGUGGAAACAGGACUGUUACUUGCAAAAAAUUAGAGUGUUUAAAGCAAGCUAACGCUUGAAUACAUUAGCAUGGAAUAAUGAAAUAGGACGAUCGAUCCUAUUUUGUUGGUUUCUAGGAUUGACGUA
RNAcentral lists this ribosomal RNA (216 nucleotides) under Glomeromycotina sp. Its description in RNAcentral is "partial small subunit ribosomal RNA". Lineage: Eukaryota; Fungi; Glomeromycota. The record is from RNAcentral.